UUGAUAACUUCCUUGAUGGCAAUGGCUUUUAUUGAAUACCUAAGUAGCCUAUAUAAUUAUCUGACUUGACCUUUUAGUUACAACCUGUAUGUAUAGUUGUUGGUAUGUAGCUAGCUACCCAAUGUGUCAAAAGUUAGUGUGGCUCUUGUGAAAUGUCGCCACUGACAUUGUCAAACUCAAUUACGAGACGAGACCCCGUGUGGCUCAGUUGGUGGCGCUUGCAACGCCUGUGUUGAGUUCGAUUCCCACAGGGGGCCAGUACGAAAACGUAUGCACUAGCUAACAGAUAGCCAACUGAUGUCGCUUUGCCGUGAGCUAAAACACAGCAAACGUGUCUAACGUUAACACAUGUAUGUAUACGCAUUCUUUCACUUCAAUAUACAAAGAGAUCGGGUUGAUUAGCCACCGGGAAGCCAGACUGAUGAAUCUAGUCAGGAGCUGCUAGGAUACCCUGACCUCUGGAAUGAGGCUCUCCAAGCAGUUGACCUUCUCAUUCUGACAAACUGGUUCCCACAGGCUGAGAGGCAACUACUGGCCACUGUGCAGGAAGACAGCUUUACAACACUGAGGAGGAUCCUUCAUAAUGAAUAGUCAGUGCAUCAAUUCUGUGCUCCAAAGAGCAAAGAUGAUGAGCCAAACUCUGAUGCUCAUGGCACAUAUAGUCUGUUGGCAAGAGCUACAGGACUUCAUAAAAAGGUAUGUCAAUGUUGAAAAGAAACACCUUCAGAAACAAGCAAGAAUGGGCUUGUCAUGUACAAUGCACUUCUUCAAGACUUUCAACACCUGCAAUGAACUCAAGCAGUAUUUUCCAACGAUUUCCAGAGAUGACACAAGUUUUGACUGUGUUUAAACCAUUUCAACACUUGAGGGGAUGGAAGCUCUUGCUUUGAAGUUUCUCCUGGAAAGACCAAUUAAAUUUGCACAGGUGCAUUCCUGAAUGAAAACAUUAAGAGAAACUGGACGAUGUUACAAUGUUUUAUGAUCCCCAGAUUUUCCUGAAGAAGUAUUUCAAAAGAGAGGAUGAACAAAUGGAAAAUCAAAUGGAAGAGAUUGAAGAAAUGUUCCAGAACCUUCCCAAAGACCAGGACAUGCAGAAGAUUGUGAUUAACAAAGCCUUUCUGUACCUCCGCCCUUCUGUACCUUCAACACCUGGUGCAGAGCAACCAUGGGAAGCCGGUGAAGAGAUGGGAUUAACGUGGGCAAAGAAUGACGCAUGAUGCCGAGCUCUUUUACUCCAUAUUCUCAGGCCUGAAUUGUGAUGUUGAACAGUGGAACCUCAUACAGCUGAAAGUGAGAGAAGUACUGGAGAGCAGCGAUGUUGAAAGUCUCAAGGUAACAGUCAGUGAGAUACUGAGGGACUGCUCCAGGACAAGUACGGAGCACCUGCCAGCCCUGCUGCGUUGGAAGGGAGGCCUGUCACGGACACAGACCCGGGAGGUGCUGGAGGCAAACCAGGAGGUGUACCUGAUUUACCUGUCCCAAACAAGGUCUGGAACCUGGUACGGCUGCCUUCUCUGUUGCUGAGGGUGGGACGCCUCAGGUGGAUGACCGCACUAAACAUGACCUUCAAGUUCGCAACUGACCGCACAAUAUUUGGAGCUCUGUUUAAAAAGUUGGCAAAAUAUGUAAAGGUACUUAUUAUUUUUAAUGUAUCAAAGAUAAAUAAUAAGAUAUAUCUGAA
Non-coding RNA from Oncorhynchus mykiss (rainbow trout), 1681 nucleotides. NCBI's taxonomy places the organism in Eukaryota, Metazoa, Chordata, Actinopteri, Salmoniformes, Salmonidae. The record is from RefSeq and is a predicted model, not a curated record.